Long non-coding RNA from Sarcophilus harrisii (Tasmanian devil), 2900 nucleotides. RefSeq lists it as uncharacterized. NCBI's taxonomy places the organism in Eukaryota, Metazoa, Chordata, Mammalia, Dasyuromorphia, Dasyuridae. The transcript is spliced from 3 exons. The record is from RefSeq and is a predicted model, not a curated record.
CUUUUAAAAAACAAAACUGGCUGAUUUUCAAUCAUUCUUAAUUAGUGAGAUAUAGUUGGUAUGAAAAGCUGUUGGAAACGUGAUGAAAGAGAUAGUUAGCGAACCUUCAGGAAAGGGAGCAGCAAUCAAGUGAGUCAGCAUGGUUGCAGCAAAAAGAAGUCACGGCAGGCAGACUUACCAUAUUUCCUUUUUGGUUUUUACUGGACCAGGACUAACCGGAAGGACCAGGAGAUUCUUGUACUUGAGGUAACACAAAGCCGGCAGGAAAAUCAGUACUUUGGCAGGAGCCAAAAAACUUCAGGAGGCCAAGAAACUGGACCGAAUCUAAGGGCAUUAAAUUUAGACGAGUGACUGUGAGAGUGAGCUGGCUGUACAUCAGCUCCUGUGAUCUUGGACUGUAGCACAUGAGCUUCCAGGAACUGGGAAGGGGAGAAUCUCUGAUCUCUGCCCUGGGCAGACCUUGGUGCAGGGAACUUGGUUCAGUUCCAGGUGCUGUGGUUUAGAAGAACAUUAAAAACUGAAGUUACCCAGAGAAAGCCUUUCAGCGUGAAGGGUCUGCUCAGGAGGACUGGUCCAGGGAAGCAGAGGAGAAAGUUCUGGGGAGAGCAAUGGCGGCUGCCUUCCUUGGGAAGUAGGACUGGCCCCUUCCUGUGGGGUUCACUGAGCUGGGGAGCAGGGACGGGGGUCCGGCAGGCUGAUGCCUGCACUUAUGGGGGGGCUUUGAUUCCUUCCUUAGCAUGUCAGCACCCCGGGGGUUGGGACGCCUGGUUCUCUGGUUCUUCUGGUCCAGCAUAUGCCAAGCACCUAAGCAGAGCUUUGUGAUUGAUGUUGUUCAGCCCCCUCCCUCUGUGGAGGGUGGAGCUGUUCUUCCCCUGGGGUUUGACUUUCUGUUUCCUCAGCUCUUCUAGCAGUGGGAUCGCUCCUUUUGGGGUGGGGGAUGGCAAGGGAUCCCCUCCGGAAAUCUCGCCUGUGCAGGGUGCCCACUGGACUGGGAGCUUCCGGAGGGCAGGGCUGGGGCUUUGUCCGCCCGGGUGUGCCAGUGCCCAGACUUGCACAGAGUGAGCCCACAGCGACAAAUCCUCGUCACCCGCUGCCCUCUGCAGUCUUCUCUCCCUCGGAUUGAGGGGUGCAGAGUCGCUUUCCUGAAUCCCCCCCUUUCUUUCAUGGUCAAUCUCCUAGAAAACCCCCAGAUCAGACACUCAUCAUCUUCAUUAUGUGGAGCCCAAUCCGCCGUCCAUCCACCCCCCCUGCCACCAUCCACCCCCGGCCUGCCCCACCCUCCUUCCCGCCGCCGUCCAUCCACCGCUGGCCCAAGCUGCGUCUCGGUGCCCUGGCUCUCAGGAUGCCCCAUCCGCGGGCACAUCCCGGUCUGCACAAUGGAGACACGAAUGGACGGACAACCCACUGGGCAUAUCCUGUGUAGGCAGUGGGUGAUGGCGGCUCUCUCCGCAGCAAGGAUCUGUGCAAGGGGGACAUUUCCACCCCCACCCCCUGAACAUCAGGAGCCCUUUACAGAAGCUAAGGAAGAUGAGAACAAAUUGUUUAAUUUUACAGCUCAUAAUAAAGAGCAUGAAAUUUUGCUUAAAUGGGGAGCUGAGCUAAGCGGCAAAGGGACCCCCCAGCUUCCUGUCAAUGAACCAAGCCCCUGCAGGCCUGAUUGAUGAGGGGGAAGAGCAAGACUUCUCACUGAGGGGCAGCCAGCUGGCACAGGGGGUAGAGCACAGGCUCUGGAGCCAGGAGGACCUGAGUGCAAAUCACUUAAACAUUUGCUAGCAAUGUUUUUGCUUUAACCCCGAUUACUUCUGGGAGAGAGACAGACAGACAGAGAAACAGACAGCGCUUGUUGAACCCAGAUCCAGGAGAGGAGGAGAUCAUCAACUGUUCCUUCUUUUCCCCUUCAUGCUUGGAAACAUACCCAAAGGAGACCGGCACUUUCUCCCCGUAGCUGACAAGUCUACUGUCCUGUGCAAGGCUAAAAUAAAUGGCUCAAAACACAAGGAAGCAGCUUUGGGAACAAAAAGCGCAAUGUUUGACACAAACUUCUGGGAAAAUUGGAAAGCGGUGUGACAGAAACUAGGUAUGGACCAUGAUCUCACGCCAUCUACCAAGAUAAGGUCCAAAUGACUUACACAUAAAAGGUCGGGCCAUAAGCCAGUUAGAGAGCGCUGCAUAGCUUGUCUGUCAGAUUUAUGAGUGAGGGGAGAGUGCAGGACCAAAGGUGAGAGGGGAUUAGAAUGUGUGAAACAGACCAUUUUAGUUAAAUGAACAAACAAAACCAAUACAACCAAAAUUACAAGGAAAGCAGAAAACUGGGGGAGAGGGGAAUUGCAACAAUUCUCUGAUGAAGGCCUCAUUUCCCAGAUAUAGAGAGAGCCGAGUCAGAUUUGUAAAGGUACAAGUUAGGCCCCAAGUGAGAGAAGAUAUGAAGAGGUGGUUUCUGGAAGAAGAAAUGAAAGCUACCUAUGGGCACAUGAACAAUGGAGUCUGUUUCACUGCAGAUUAGAGAAAGGCAGAUUAAAAAGCCCCGAGGUGUACCCCCCCCCCCCCAGUGGCUGAUGGCAGGAAAAGGGAAAUUUUGGAGAGCUGGGACACUGAUUUACUGUGGGUGCAGGGGGAUGAGAGACUUGGACCUGACAAUUUCUAACCAUCCUUUCAGCUCCCGAGUCCAAGUUCUGUCUCUUGGCUCCCUCCUUUACUAAGAGCAUGCCCACAGUGGGGACACCUCUGGUGUCCUUAGAUCUCCUUGGGAGACCCCACUCUGCCCCAGCUUCUGAUUCCAGCACAUAGUAGGUGCUUUGCUGAUACUUCACACAGCUGCACAUGUAGAACAUAAAUUGCUGACUGUGUUGGGGGAAGAACAAUUUAAUGAAUGUUAAGAUUGUCAUUACAUGUAAUUGAAA